This 103-nucleotide small nuclear RNA is filed under the name Pelusios castaneus (West African mud turtle). RNAcentral's name for it is "U2 spliceosomal RNA (ENSPCEG00000010693.1)". It matches the Rfam family "U2 spliceosomal RNA". From Rfam's summary of the family: U2 is a small nuclear RNA (snRNA) component of the spliceosome (involved in pre-mRNA splicing). Lineage: Eukaryota; Metazoa; Chordata; Testudines; Pelomedusidae. The record is from Rfam by way of RNAcentral.
CUCCCUUUCUAGCCCUUUGGCUAAGAUCAAGUGUAGUAUCUGUUCUUAUCAGUUUAAUCUGGUUCAUUCAGAUUUAUUACUGAGGCAGGUGACUAUACCAUCU